AAUAGAUACCCCGGUAGUCCACGCCGUAAACGUUGGGCGCUAGAUGUGGGGACCUUUCCACGGUUUCCGUGUCGUAGCUAACGCAUUAAGCGCCCCGCCUGAGGAGUACGGCCGCAAGGCUAAAACUCAAAGGAAUUGACGGGGGCCCGCACAAGCGGCGGAGCAUGCGGAUUAAUUCGAUGCAACGCGAAGAACCUUACCAAGGCUUGACAUACACGAGAACGGGCCAGAAAUGGUCAACUCUUUGGACACUCGUGAACAGGUGGUGCAUGGUUGUCGUCAGCUCGUGUCGUGAGAUGUUGGGUUAAGUCCCGCAACGAGCGCAACCCUCGUCGCAUGUUGCCAGCACGUUAUGGUGGGGACUCAUGUGAGACUGCCGGGGUCAACUCGGAGGAAGGUGGGGAUGACGUCAAAUCAUCAUGCCCCUUAUGUCUUGGGCUUCACGCAUGCUACAAUGGCCGGUACAAAGGGCUGCGAUGUCGUAAGGCGGAGCGAAUCCCAAAAAAGCCGGUCUCAGUUCGGAUUGAGGU
RNAcentral lists this ribosomal RNA (530 nucleotides) under uncultured bacterium. RNAcentral's name for it is "bacterial SSU rRNA". It matches the Rfam family "Bacterial small subunit ribosomal RNA", at positions 777 to 1304 of the family's 1533-position model. The record is from RNAcentral.